UGGCACUCGGGUUUAACAAAUCUCGUAUUUCCCACACUAGUCGCAGAAGUAGUCUGAGAUUUAGGACCCACAUUUUGCUUCUUAAAAUUUCCAUAUGAUUGCCCAGUUGAAACUUGGGAACGAGGAUUCAUAUUUCUUGACUUUCCGGUUUGCUGUGAAGGUGCCUUACUCAUUGGCCUUUUCUUCCAAUUUCGUGUUUCAGAUUCUACCUUUUUCUUUUCCUUCAGUAGUUCUUCAGCCUUGCAAGCUCGAUCAACCAGUACUACCAUUUCUUUUAGUUCAAGGAUCCCGACAAAUACUUUAAUUUCUU
Molecule: long non-coding RNA, 310 nt
Filed under: Gossypium barbadense (sea-island cotton)
Lineage: Eukaryota; Viridiplantae; Streptophyta; Magnoliopsida; Malvales; Malvaceae
Description: long non-coding RNA (GBAR_LNC011370)
Source: RNAcentral